RNAcentral lists this ribosomal RNA (440 nucleotides) under uncultured bacterium. RNAcentral describes it as "bacterial SSU rRNA". It matches the Rfam family "Bacterial small subunit ribosomal RNA", at positions 338 to 795 of the family's 1533-position model. The record is from RNAcentral.
CCUACGGGGGGCAGCAGUGGGGAAUAUUGCACAAUGGGCGAAAGCCUGAUGCAGCGACGCCGCGUGAGCGAUGAAGGCCGUCGGGUCGUAAAGCUCUGUCCUAAGGGAAGAAGAUUGACGGUACCUUAGGAGGAAGCCCCGGCUAACUACGUGCCAGCAGCCGCGGUAAUACGUAGGGGGCGAGCGUCAUCCGGAAUUACUGGGCGUAAAGGGUGCGUAGGCGGCUUUAUAAGUUAGGUGUGAAAGGAUUCGGCUCAACGGAAGUGGGCUCUUGAAACUGUAGGGCUUGAGUGCAGGAGAGGAGAGCGGAAUUCGUAGUGUAGCGGUGAAAAGCGGAGUUAUUAGGAGGAACACAAGUGGCGACGGCGGCUCUCUGGACUGUAGCUGACGCUGGGGCACGAAAGCGUAGGGAGCAAAAAGGAUUAGAUACCCCUGUAGUC